AACGAACGCUGGCGGCGCGCCUAAUACAUGCAAGUCGAGCGAGAAGGUGUAGCAAUACACUUGUAAAGCGGCGAACGGGUGAGGAAUACAUGGGUAACCUACCCUCGAGUGGGGAAUAACUAGCCGAAAGGUUAGCUAAUACCGCAUACGAUUCCAGGACUUCAGUCCUGGAAGGAAAGCACUACCGUGGGUAGUGCGCUCCUGGAUGGGCUCAUGUCCUAUCAGCUUGNGGUGAGGUAAAGGCUCACCAAGGCUUCGACGGGUAGCUGGUCUGAGAGGACGAUCAGCCACACUGGCACUGCGACAC
This 307-nucleotide ribosomal RNA is filed under the name uncultured bacterium. Its description in RNAcentral is "bacterial SSU rRNA". It matches the Rfam family "Bacterial small subunit ribosomal RNA", at positions 29 to 327 of the family's 1533-position model. The record is from RNAcentral.